UAGGGAAUCUUCGGCAAUGGACGAAAGUCUGACCGAGCAACGCCGCGUGAGUGAAGAAGGUUUUCGGAUCGUAAAACUCUGUUGGUAGAGAAGAACGUUGGUGAGAGUGGAAAGCUCAUCAAGUGACGGUAACUACCCAGGAAGGGACGGCUAACUACGUGCCAA
This 165-nucleotide ribosomal RNA is filed under the name uncultured bacterium. RNAcentral's name for it is "partial 16S rRNA". It matches the Rfam family "Bacterial small subunit ribosomal RNA", at positions 355 to 511 of the family's 1533-position model. The record is from RNAcentral.